RNAcentral lists this long non-coding RNA (241 nucleotides) under Malus domestica (apple). Its description in RNAcentral is "long non-coding RNA (MDOM_LNC020972)". Lineage: Eukaryota; Viridiplantae; Streptophyta; Magnoliopsida; Rosales; Rosaceae. The record is from RNAcentral.
ACUUUCACUACUUAUGAAUAUAAGUUAAUAACGAUUAGGUGAAAUUCCCUUAUACCCUAGCAUCAAGUUUAGGCAUGCAAAUUAAGUGUCGACCCUCAACCCACAUACAUAAACAAGUUAUCAAUCAAAUAGAUAAGUAAAUCACAUUCACAAUUUCUGAAAAUCAUAAUUGGAAGAAAUCAAAUCAUAUAAAACAUAUGUCCAUGACUUCAAAUUCACCUCUAACUAAAAAGAAAUUAGU